CCAGACUCCUACGGGAGGCUGCAGUCGAGAAUCAUUCGCAAUGGGCGAAAGCCUGACGAUGCGACGCUGUGUGAGCGAUGAAGGCCUUCGGGUCGUAAAGCUCUUUCGCCUGGGAACAAGAGAGGCA
RNAcentral lists this ribosomal RNA (127 nucleotides) under uncultured Chlamydiales bacterium. RNAcentral's name for it is "partial 16S ribosomal RNA". It matches the Rfam family "Bacterial small subunit ribosomal RNA", at positions 331 to 457 of the family's 1533-position model. The record is from RNAcentral. Lineage: Bacteria; Pseudomonadati; Chlamydiota; Chlamydiia; Chlamydiales.